CUGUUGUUCGCAGAGCUGCCU
RNAcentral lists this non-coding RNA (21 nucleotides) under Arabidopsis thaliana (thale cress). The record is from RNAcentral. Lineage: Eukaryota; Viridiplantae; Streptophyta; Magnoliopsida; Brassicales; Brassicaceae.